AGAGUUUGAUCAUGGCUCAGGACGAACGCUGGCGGCGUGCUUAACACAUGCAAGUCGAGCGGUAAGGCCCUUCGGGGUACACGAGCGGCGAACGGGUGAGUAACACGUGAGUAACCUGCCCCUGGCUCUGGGAUAAGCCCGGGAAACCGGGUCUAAUACCGGAUAUGACCCCUGCUCGCAUGGGUGGGGGUGGAAAGGUUGGUUUUCCUUCCGGUCGGGGAUGGGCUCGCGGUCUAUCAGCUUGUUGGUGGGGUGACGGCCUACCAAGGCGAUGACGGGUAGCCGGCCUGAGAGGGCGACCGGCCACACUGGGACUGAGACACGGCCCAGACUCCUGCGGGAGGCAGCAGUGGGGAAUAUUGCGCAAUGGGCGGAAGCCUGACGCAGCGACGCCGCGUGGGGGAUGAAGGCCUUCGGGUUGUAAACCUCUUUUACCACUCACGCAGGCCUUGGGUUUUCCUGGGGUUGACGGUAGGUGGUGAAUAAGGACCGGCUAACUACGUGCCAGCAGCCGCGGUAAUACGUAGGGUCCGAGCGUUGUCCGGAAUUAUUGGGCGUAAAGAGCUCGUAGGCGGCCUGUCGCGUCUGCUGUGAAAGUCCGGGGCUUAACUCCGGGUGUGCAGUGGAUACGGGCAGGCUUGAGGUAGGUAGGGGAGACUGGAAUUCCUGGUGUAGCGGUGAAAUGCGCAGAUAUCAGGAGGAACACCGGUGGCGAAGGCGGGUCUCUGGGCCUUACCUGACGCUGAGGAGCGAAAGCGUGGGGAGCGAACAGGAUUAGAUACCCUGGGUAGUCCACGCCGUAAACGUUGGGCGCUAGGUGUGGGGACUUUCCACGGUUUCCGUGCCGUAGCUAACGCAUUAAGCGCCCCGCCUGGGGAGUACGGCCGCAAGGCUAAAACUCAAAGGAAUUGACGG
This 915-nucleotide ribosomal RNA is filed under the name uncultured bacterium. RNAcentral's name for it is "bacterial SSU rRNA". It matches the Rfam family "Bacterial small subunit ribosomal RNA", at positions 8 to 916 of the family's 1533-position model. The record is from RNAcentral.